This is a long non-coding RNA of Xiphophorus couchianus (Monterrey platyfish), 395 nucleotides long. RefSeq lists it as uncharacterized. The record is from RefSeq and is a predicted model, not a curated record. Lineage: Eukaryota; Metazoa; Chordata; Actinopteri; Cyprinodontiformes; Poeciliidae. The transcript is spliced from 3 exons.
UAAGAAUUAUAGUUUAGUUUAAUUUUUCUGAUUAUUUUCUGCUUGUAAUUAUAUUCUGACCAGUUACAGCAGCAGGAAGCAACCAGCUGUUCUUUUCUCUGGGCUCAUUUCUCCUCAUGACUCCAUCAUGAAACAUUUUCAUCAGAACUUCUCUCCUGUCUCAUGAAGAUUUAUCAACCUGCCUCUGAUUUCACUGCAGACCUUCUACUUCCUGGUUCUGCUGCUCUGAAAGAAGAAACUACAAACCAGGUGUGGCAUUAGUCUGGUUCUCCUACGGUUCUGUUGGGCCUCAGUCUGUUGUUCAGAUGUUCUUCUUCAACUCUUUGGACAGUUUGAACAAACUGUGAAGGUAGAAAGUGUGUGUGAGCUGAUGUGAAUUCAGCAGCAUGGAUCAG